This 532-nucleotide ribosomal RNA is filed under the name uncultured bacterium. RNAcentral's name for it is "partial 16S ribosomal RNA". It matches the Rfam family "Bacterial small subunit ribosomal RNA", at positions 355 to 874 of the family's 1533-position model. The record is from RNAcentral.
UGGGGAAUAUUGCACAAUGGGCGCAAGCCUGAUGCAGCCAUGCCGCGUGUGUGAAGAAGGCCUUCGGGUUGUAAAGCACUUCAGCGAGGAGGAAGGUGGUGAGCUUAGUACGCUCAUCAAUUGACGUUACUCGCAGAAGAAGCACCGGCUAACUCCGUGCCAGCAGCCGCGGUAAUACGGAGGGUGCAAGCGUUAAUCGGAAUUACUGGGCGUAAAGCGCACGCAGGCGGUUUGUUAAGUCAGNUGUGAAAUCCCCGGGCUCAACCUGGGAACUGCAUUUGAAACUGGCAAGCUAGAGUCUCGUAGAGGGGGGUAGAAUUUCCAGGUGUAGCGGUGAAAUGCGUAGAGAUCUGGAGGAAUACCGGUGGCGAAGGCGGCCCCCCUGGACGAAGACUGACGCUCAGGUGCGAAAAGCGUGGGGAGCAAAACAGGAUUAGAUACCCUGGUAGUCCACGCUGUAAAACGAUGUCGAUUUUGGAGGUUGUGCCCUUGAGGCGUGGCUUCCGGAGCUAACGCGUUAAAUCGACCGCCU